UAAGCUGAUUUGUACUGUAGCACCAUUGACCACAUCAGCAGAUCAAGAAUCAGCAACAAAAAAGAUCAAAAGAUGGGAUGAAGAAAUGGACAAUGAUUUAGUAAAAGAGAUGCUCAAUUCAAAUAUUUUUAGCUACAAAUAUAAUUCGAAGAGCCGAGGUUUGUGAUUAAUCCAUUCGGAGCGACAACAGACUGAAAUUUAUUACCAUGAAUUCUUUUAUGUCCAUUUUACAUAAUCCUUUGCGACUGUACAGGUCUACAAACGGGUCGAACGGUCCCAUCUAUGAACCCCCCCCCCCAACAGUUGUUGAGCGGUGCACCCUUAGUUUGAAUAACAUUACAAAAUUCUUGAAGCUUAUCUGGAGCAAGUCAUGGCUGUUGGAGAGUUUCCAAAAGAUGGUUACAAUAGUCGUAAAUAAUGAUGUCCACGAUUUUGCACGUUGCCAAAAACAACUCUGUUAUGACCGACCGAAGUUUGGAACCAUGUCUGCAUAUCGACAUGAUAUGCAAAACGAUAAAAAAAACAUACAAAAUGCCUCGAUUCCAUCAAAUACAGAUCCAUUUUUGCAUCGCACUUCAUGCUGAAUUCUU
Molecule: long non-coding RNA, 590 nt
Organism: Anneissia japonica
Lineage: Eukaryota; Metazoa; Echinodermata; Crinoidea; Comatulida; Comatulidae
Exons: 3
Source: RefSeq, a predicted model, not a curated record